GACGAACGCUGGCGGCGUGCCUAAUACAUGCAAGUCGAACGCUUCUUUCCUCCCGAGUGCUUGCACUCAAUUGGAAAGAGGAGUGGCGGACGGGUGAGUAACACGUGGGUAACCUACCCAUCAGAGGGGGAUAACACUUGGAAACAGGUGCUAAUACCGCAUAACAGUUUAUGCCGCAUGGCAUAAGAGUGAAAGGCGCUUUCGGGUGUCGCUGAUGGAUGGACCCGCGGUGCAUUAGCUAGUUGGUGAGGUAACGGCUCACCAAGGCCACGAUGCAUAGCCGACCUGAGAGGGUGAUCGGCCACACUGGGACUGAGACACGGCCCAGACUCCUACGGGAGGCAGCAGUAGGGAAUCUUCAGCAAUGGACGAAAGUCUGACCGAGCAACGCCGCGUGAGUGAAGAAGGUUUUCGGAUCGUAAAACUCUGUUGUUAGAGAAGAACAAGGACGUUAGUAACUGAACGUCCCCUGACGGUAUCUAACCAGAAAGCCACGGCUAACUACGUG
Molecule: ribosomal RNA, 508 nt
Filed under: uncultured bacterium
Lineage: Bacteria
Description: partial 16S ribosomal RNA
Rfam family: Bacterial small subunit ribosomal RNA
Source: RNAcentral